RNAcentral lists this long non-coding RNA (751 nucleotides) under Musa acuminata (dwarf banana). RNAcentral's name for it is "long non-coding RNA (MACU_LNC003625)". The record is from RNAcentral. Lineage: Eukaryota; Viridiplantae; Streptophyta; Magnoliopsida; Zingiberales; Musaceae.
UUGGUUUUGAGGCUUGUUCGAGGGAAACGAGAGUAGGAAUGCCUCCUUCCCCUUCUCUCUUUCUCCACUUCAAUGCCGAUGAUUCAUUUUUCCUAAUCUCCCUCGCAUUUCUACUUCUUCCUUCCCACUUCUCUCGUGUUCGAUCUAAGAGGCGAUGAUGAGACAUGAACCUUACUGAUGGAUUAGAUCAUCUGUCAUUUUGGCACGCUUGGAUCGAUCAUGGUGUCGGCGAAUCGCAGAUUCUCAAUGCGUAUGUAUAACCUUGAUCCUAGCCCUCAACUCGAUUUCCGCACUUCUAUGCUCUGUUUACCGAUUGUAAAGGGUGCUGACGAGCAUUUCUUGGUUUUCCUUACCUCUUUCAAGACCAAUUUUAUAAAUGUUAUCAUGUUGUACAUGUUCUUGAGGAGAGUAUGUUCCAGAUAUGGAGCUUAUCUGAAGGUAAGUUACUGAGGAGCAUUACAUAUCCUUCCCAAAUCAAUGCUAUCACGAUCCUUGGGAGUGUGUACUUUUGCUUGUCGGCGGAGAUUGCAACGUAUAUAUUGCAGCGCUAACUGCUGAAUGAAACCCUAGUUGCAGAUAAUGAUGUUCCUCAUUAAUACCUUAAAUGAUCUCAGGCCACGAUGUUAUUAGUUGCUUGGUUUUGAUUAGCAUAUCUUUUCUUCUAUAUUUAUGUACUCGUAAUUUUGUGCGACGUGUUCUGGAAAAUUUCUUAGUAGAGACUAUACUCAUACUCUUCGCAGGUGUAUUAGAA